Molecule: ribosomal RNA, 362 nt
Filed under: uncultured bacterium
Lineage: Bacteria
Description: bacterial SSU rRNA
Rfam family: Bacterial small subunit ribosomal RNA
Source: RNAcentral
GGCCGCGGGAAUUGGAUUCAGGCCUAACACAUGCAAGUCGAGCGGUAGAGAGAAGCUUGCUUCUCUUGAGAGCGGCGGACGGGUGAGUAAUGCCUAGGAAUCUGCCUGGUAGUGGGGGAUAACGUUCGGAAACGGACGCUAAUGCCGCAUACGUCCUACGGGAGAAAGCAGGGGACCUUCGGGCCUUGCGCUAUCAGAUGAGCCUAGGUCGGAUUAGCUAGUUGGUGAGGUAAUGGCUCACCAAGGCUACGAUCCGUAACUGGUCUGAGAGGAUGAUCAGUCACACUGGAACUGAGACACGGUCCAGACUCCUACGGGAGGCAGCAGUGGGGAAUAUUGGACAAUGGGCGAAAGCCUGAUCC